GUAGCACAAUCACUUGUCCCUUAGAUGGGGACGCGUAUGAAAGGCAACAUGAGAGAGAACCUGUCUCCUAAGGAAUGCCAAUGAAAUUGAACUGCCAGUUCAAAAGCUGGUAUAAAAAAGCAAGACAAAAAGACCCUGUGGAACUUUAAUUAACUGCUUUACAUAAUAAAACCAGUAAUUUCAGUUGGGACAACUUUAGAAAAAAUAAACUUCCUAAUUUUACUAGACUAACUAGUCCAAAACAACCAUGACCCAGUAGUACUGAUUAACGAAACAAGCUACCCCAGGGAUAACAGCGCUACCUUCUCAAAGAGUUCAUAUCAACAAGAAGAUCUACGACCUCGAUGUUGGAUCAGGGUACCCAGACGGUGCAGCAGCUGUCAAUGGUUCGUUUGUUCAACGAUUAAUACCCU
RNAcentral lists this ribosomal RNA (413 nucleotides) under Furcifer lateralis (carpet chameleon). Its description in RNAcentral is "partial 16S ribosomal RNA". It matches the Rfam family "Bacterial large subunit ribosomal RNA", at positions 1956 to 2597 of the family's 2925-position model. The record is from RNAcentral. Lineage: Eukaryota; Metazoa; Chordata; Lepidosauria; Squamata; Chamaeleonidae.